GACGAACGCUGGCGGCGUGCCUAAUACAUGCAAGUAGAACGCACAGUUUAUACCGUAGCUCGCUACACCAUAGACUGUGAGUUGCGAACGGGUGAGUAACGCGUAGGUAACCUGCCUGGUAGCGGGGGAUAACUAUUGGAAACGAUAACUAAUACCGCAUAAUAUUAAUUAUUGCAUGAUAAUUAAUUGAAAGGUGCAAUUGCACCACUACCAGAUGGACCUGCGUUGUAUUAGCUAGUAGGUGAGGUAACGGCUCACCUAGGCGACGAUACAUAGCCGACCUGAGAGGGUGAUCGGCCACACUGGGACUGAGACACGGCCCAGACUCCUACGGGAGGCAGCAGUAGGGAAUCUUCGGCAAUAGACGAAAGUCUGACCGAGCAACGCCGCGUGAGUGAAGAAGGUUUUCGGAUCGUAAAGCUCUGUUGUAAGAGAAGAACGGGUGUGAGAGUGGAAAGUUCACACUGUGACGGUAUCUUACCAGAAAGGGACGGCUAACUACGUG
RNAcentral lists this ribosomal RNA (505 nucleotides) under uncultured bacterium. RNAcentral describes it as "partial 16S ribosomal RNA". It matches the Rfam family "Bacterial small subunit ribosomal RNA", at positions 28 to 507 of the family's 1533-position model. The record is from RNAcentral.